GUUUCAGGGCGGGGUGAGAUUCCCCACUGGCGGUAUCGGGACGAGCGUCCCCAAGCCCGCGAACCGCAAGAGCGGCCGACCUGGUGAGACUCCAGGGCCAACGGUUACAGUCCGGAUGGGAGAAA
This 125-nucleotide non-coding RNA is filed under the name bovine gut metagenome. Its description in RNAcentral is "FMN riboswitch (RFN element)". It matches the Rfam family "FMN riboswitch aptamer (RFN element)". From Rfam's summary of the family: The RFN element is a highly conserved domain that is found frequently in the 5'-untranslated regions of prokaryotic mRNAs that encode for flavin mononucleotide (FMN) biosynthesis and transport proteins. This element is a metabolite-dependent riboswitch that directly binds FMN in the absence of proteins. The record is from RNAcentral.